This is a non-coding RNA of Monodelphis domestica (gray short-tailed opossum), 1240 nucleotides long. Lineage: Eukaryota; Metazoa; Chordata; Mammalia; Didelphimorphia; Didelphidae. The record is from RefSeq and is a predicted model, not a curated record.
UUUCUCCCUUUUACUCCCUACUGCCAGUCUGACUGUCACCUUUUGGUGACUCACUGUCUUCAGGGUGAGUCCUUGAAGUCCAUUUCAAUCUAGCUUCACCUAUGUGAAAGUGUUGAGGGAAGAGGGGAAGAGACUCUUUUUGUGGGUGUAAUGGGGUGGCCCAGACCCUCUUCCCCCAUUUUGUUAGGAUUGGCUUUGGUACCAGUUUGCCAUCAAGUGAAGCGACAGACAUUUGAAGAGAAGAGACCGGCAUCAUGCUUCCUUCUCUUUCAGGAAUACUUUCAGGCUUUCAUUUCUCUGUUACACAAGGUUUGACCUGGUGUUCUUUCUGAUUUUGCUCCAAUUUAGUUCCAUUAUUUUUCUAGUUAUGGCAUGUCAAAAGAAGGACAAGGUAUCCUACCUUAUGAAAAUGGCCUCGGUUUUUAUAUCUCAGAAAUAACAAGUUGAACUUGAUGAUCUCAAAGGUCCCUUCUAGGCCUGAUAUUCUUUAGUCCUAUGAUUUUAAAAUGAUGAAAUUAGUUGAUUAAGAAAAAGGCAUAAUUACUCAGAGAAAGGAACAACUGCAACAGGUUGGGGAGAGAUUAUCUUUGAAAAAUUCAUCUAACAGAAAAUGAUUCUUCUGGCAGUGCUGGGUAAUAUAAUUUGCUUAAUGAGUCUGACCCUGGCAGAAUUUAAGUUUUUUUCUUUUUUUUUUUGCAGAAGGUAACUAAAAGAUGACUCUUUUCUUCCUGUUGUUGUUAACUGGCAGAAGACACAAUGAGAACUAACCAGUCAAUCAAUUAAUCAAUCAACAAGUAUUAUGUAAGCAAUUUUGAAUCUUGAGCCAUAGAACUAGGAUUUGAAUGCCAUUUCUGCCCUCUGUGACCUUGGAUAAUACUAUUUCACCAUUUUAUGGGGUGAAAACAGAAGGAACUAUACACUGCUUCUCAAAGGUUGUCAACUCCAACAAUCCCUACAAACUUGUGUGAUCUUGGAUAUGAAGAGUCAUCUAUGACAUUCUCCUGAGAGAUUGAAGAGGAGCCAAAAGUUUGGUCACUGCCUUCAUGACCCUAGAGGAGAUGUGGUACUGGGCUUAUGUACCUUCAGUGUUGUUGACUCAGAAACUUGUGCAGCAAUCCUAGAAGACUGAAGUGUCAACAGCACCUAUUGAUUCUUCCUCUAUCCUGUUGACAGAAAUUUCCAAGCAGUUAUAGUUUGUGUGACAAAAUUCACAUGAACCAAAAGAAAAAAAAAGAAUAAA